AGACUGGGAUAACUUCGGGAAACCGGAGCUAAUACCGGAUAAUAUUUUGAACCGCAUGGUUCAAAAGUGAAAGACGGUCUUGCUGUCACUUAUAGAUGGAUCCGCGCUGCAUUAGCUAGUUGGUAAGGUAACGGCUUACCAAGGCAACGAUGCAUAGCCGACCUGAGAGGGUGAUCGGCCACACUGGAACUGAGACACGGUCCAGACUCCUACGGGAGGCAGCAGUAGGGAAUCUUCCGCAAUGGGCGAAAGCCUGACGGAGCAACGCCGCGUGAGUGAUGAAGGUCUUCGGAUCGUAAAACUCUGUUAUUAGGGAAGAACAUAUGUGUAAGUAACUGUGCACAUCUUGACGGUACCUAAUCAGAAAGCCACGGCUAACUACGUGCCAGCAGCCGCGGUAAUACGUAGGUGGCAAGCGUUAUCCGGAAUUAUUGGGCGUAAAGCGCGCGUAGGCGGUUUUUUAAGUCUGAUGUGAAAGCCCACGGCUCAACCGUGGAGGGUCAUUGGAAACUGGAAAACUUGAGUGCAGAAGAGGAAAGUGGAAUUCCAUGUGUAGCGGUGAAAUGCGCAGAGAUAUGGAGGAACACCAGUGGCGAAGGCGACUUUCUGGUCUGUAACUGACGCUGAUGUGCGAAAGCGUGGGGAUCAAACAGGAUUAGAUACCCUGGUAGUCCACGCCGUAAACGAUGAGUGCUAAGUGUUAGGGGGUUUCCGCCCCUUAGUGCUGCAGCUAACGCAUUAAGCACUCCGCCUGGGGAGUACGACCGCAAGGUUGAAACUCAAAGGAAUUGACGGGGACCCGCACAAGCGGUGGAGCAUGUGGUUUAAUUCGAAGCAACGCGAAGAACCUUACCAAAUCUUGACAUCCUUUGACAACUCUAGAGAUAGAGCCUUCCCCUUCGGGGGACAAAGUGACAGGUGGUGCAUGGUUGUCGUCAGCUCGUGUCGUGAGAUGUUGGGUUAAGUCCCGCAACGAGCGCAACCCUUAAGCUUAGUUGCCAUCAUUAAGUUGGGCACUCUAAGUUGACUGCCGGUGACAAACCGGAGGAAGGUGGGGAUGACGUCAAAUCAUCAUGCCCCUUAUGAUUUGGGCUACACACGUGCUACAAUGGACAAUACAAAGGGCAGCGAAACCGCGAGGUCAAGCAAAUCCCAUAAAGUUGUUCUCAGUUCGGAUUGUAGUCUGCAACUCGACUACAUGAAGCUGGAAUCGCUAGUAAUCGUAGAUCAGC
Molecule: ribosomal RNA, 1232 nt
Filed under: Staphylococcus aureus
Lineage: Bacteria; Bacillati; Bacillota; Bacilli; Caryophanales; Staphylococcaceae
Description: bacterial SSU rRNA
Rfam family: Bacterial small subunit ribosomal RNA
Source: RNAcentral